Molecule: ribosomal RNA, 498 nt
Filed under: uncultured bacterium
Lineage: Bacteria
Description: partial 16S ribosomal RNA
Rfam family: Bacterial small subunit ribosomal RNA
Source: RNAcentral
GACGAACGCUGGCGGCAUGCCUAACACAUGCAAGUCGAACGGAGAUUACUUCGGUACUCUUAGUGGCGAACGGGUGAGUAACGCGUGGGCAACCUGCCCUCUAGAUGGGGACAACAUCCCGAAAGGGGUGCUAAUACCGAAUGUGACAGCAACUUCGCAUGAGGAUGCUGUGAAAGAUGGCCUCUAUCUAUAAGCUAUCGCUAGAGGAUGGGCCUGCGUCGGAUUAGCUAGUUGGUGGGGUAACGGCCUACCAAGGCGAUGAUCAGUAGCCGGUCUGAGAGGAUGAACGGCCCAAUUGGGAAUGAGACACGGCCCAGACUCCUACGGGAGGCAGCAGUGGGGAAUCUUCCGAAAUGGGCGAAAGCCUGACGGAGGAAUGCCGCGUGGGUGAUGAAGGAAUUCGUUACGUAAAGGUCUUUUGUUUAUGACGAAUGUGCAGAUUGUAAAUAAGAAUCUGUAAUGACGGUAGUAACAGAAUAAGCCACGGCUAACUACGUG